Molecule: non-coding RNA, 125 nt
Organism: Canis lupus familiaris (dog)
Lineage: Eukaryota; Metazoa; Chordata; Mammalia; Carnivora; Canidae
Source: Rfam
AUUUACAGCCAUACCACUGUGAAUGUACCAGAUUUCAUCUAAUCUCAGAAGCUAAGCAGGGUCGGGCUUGGUUAGUACUUGGAUGGGAAACCAUUCAACUCAUAUAGGCCAAAAGACUGAUAUUC